GACCGAAAGGCUAAGUGUCUCUGCCACCCUGUGUCCCUGCCUCAUGCCACACGUCUCCGCUGGAGGACGGACGAACAGGUUUCUCCAAGUAAUUCUGCUCUGUGCUGCAGAUUAGAAUCUGACUCAAGCAAAAGCAUUCCCCAUGUACCAGGUUACCACAGUAAGGCAGCAGAUCUGGUCCCUCUGAGGAAGCAAUCCACAGUCUUUUCAAGAAAAUGUUUUACCUGAGAGUCAAAAGAUAAUCCAGAAACGAGAAAUUAUUAUUGCAACCCAGUGUUAAAGUUUCAUAUAAAUCAAAAUCUCAAAAUCAUCCAAACCCCUCUUGUUUUGGAUAAAUCAUAACACCUAUAAAUACAAACUUCAUCUAUAAUUGAUAGAAGUAUGACAUUUAGAAAAAUAUAAAAUGUCAACGGAGACAUCUUUCAUCAAAGGCCAUGUUUAUAACAAUACAAGGAAGGAAUGCAUGAACAUCAAAGGAAGAUUUGGCAAGAGACCAAAGAAGAGAAAGUACAAAGCAGAGAAAUUUUUCUGUGUUUAUCAAGCAGAAGGAAGCAGUGCUGACCAGGACAAAACUGCUGCUCUCCCCAGGGCUCUCUGGAAUUAAGAAAUCUGGGAGACAGAGAGAGUUCUCUUUAUUUUCCAUAACCUAGAAAAGAGAACCAUCAUGAUGACCUGUUUUUCUUCAUGCCAAGUGAGCAAGCAGGAUAUUGACACUUAAAAAACAAACAAACAAAAAAAAACAUGCAUUGAGACCACUGGAAGUAAAUGUUCUCCCCUGCAAUUAACAAUUUGGCCCUGUGGUUCAUGCAUCACUAUCUUCUGAGCUGGUUUAAGGUUUCAGUCUUUGGAAAGUUGAUAAACUCCAACCUCCCUGCACCAGCAAACCAUAAAUUGAGGCCCUCAUGGGGAGCUCUCACCCUGGGUCCUGCUUAGCUAUGCAAUCUGCUUACCACUUCCUGAGUUACAAAAACCUUAAAGGUGGCCAACUGUUCUGAAUAAAGAUGAGCUCUUCCAGCCAAGAGAAAAAAAUUAGUGUCUCAAAAAUCAUUCUGCCAUACAUGCAACAAAAAUUCAAAGUGCUCUCCUCAAUAAUUAUCCAAUGCUGAGAUAAUUGUCAGUGAAACAGAUGGAAUGAAUUAUGGUUACAUAUUUAAACAUGUAUUGGAAUUGAAGCAACUUUCCAG
Molecule: long non-coding RNA, 1184 nt
Filed under: Fukomys damarensis (Damara mole-rat)
Lineage: Eukaryota; Metazoa; Chordata; Mammalia; Rodentia; Bathyergidae
Description: lncRNA (ENSFDAG00000027949.1)
Source: RNAcentral